This 28-nucleotide non-coding RNA is filed under the name Mus musculus (house mouse). Lineage: Eukaryota; Metazoa; Chordata; Mammalia; Rodentia; Muridae. The record is from RNAcentral.
GCACUAAUGUGGUGAGGAGUUGCUUUGG